This 233-nucleotide ribosomal RNA is filed under the name uncultured bacterium. RNAcentral's name for it is "partial 16S ribosomal RNA". It matches the Rfam family "Bacterial small subunit ribosomal RNA", at positions 1272 to 1500 of the family's 1533-position model. The record is from RNAcentral.
CCCCAAAAAACGAACCAUCCCACGUUCGGAUUGCAGUCUGAAACUCGAGUGCAUGAAGCUGGAAUCGCUAGUAAUCGCAAAUCAGAAUGUUGCGGUGAAUACGUUCCCGGGUCUUGUACACACCGCCCGUCACACCAUGGGAGUUGGAAAUGCCCGAAGUCAGUGACCCAACCUAAGGGAGGGAGCUGCCGAAGGCAGGUUCGAUGACUGGGGUGAAGUCGUAACAAGGUAUC